CACUUUGUUUAAAAACCCUUCUCCCAUGCCAAAAGGAGAAGUGAUGACAUUGUUGGCAACAUUUUGUGCAAUGAUAUUUUCAUUCAAAUAAAUUCAUGUUAAAACAUUUGUUUUUCCAUUUGUUUUCCCUUUUCGCUUUUUGCAUGAAAUUGGUGAUCACAAAAAACCUUAAAAACAAGAAUAAAAGCAAUCUUUUCAUCUGCAUAACGAUUGUCUUGUUUGUUUUUCAAAAAGCUUUUCAUCUCUAAAUCUUUAUGCAGGUUGUUUCUCAAACCCAUUGAACAUAAUGAUCGGACGUCAUCUCCCAAUUUUGAAUUCCCUGUAUUCGAAGCGGACGAAGAUGAUGUUGAAGGG
Molecule: long non-coding RNA, 354 nt
Filed under: Lathyrus oleraceus (garden pea)
Lineage: Eukaryota; Viridiplantae; Streptophyta; Magnoliopsida; Fabales; Fabaceae
Description: Pisum sativum (pea) long non-coding RNA (PSAT_LNC017036)
Source: RNAcentral